GGAGGAAGUCCUCUUCCUUUUUUUGGGUGGAACAGCCAGGCCCCUCCAGUUCUCAACUGCAUCUUCAUCAGCCGGAGGAAUUUUUGUGGCAGCAUCAGAUCCCACAAACGGAACAAAUCCGCAUAUUUCCCUCGAUGAAGGAAAGAUGACGAGCAAUGAAGCGAUCGACUCGAACAGGCAAGUUUUCAUGUUUGAAAAGGCCGUGUUUUAUGUUUUUGAACUCAGCUUCAACAGUGGCUGAACUUGCUGUGAUGCUGGUGCUUUGGAAGAGAGGGACCAUUAUUCCUGUCCAGAGAGGCAAGUAACUUGUGAGUCUUAUUAUAUGAGGAAUAAUCUCAGGGAGAAAGUGAAUAUUAUCUCUGUCCCCGUUUGCUGCAGCAGGUGACCUGCUCUCCUCACAUAUUUCUGUUACCCAGUGUCGUAGGUCAGUCUGGAUCUCAUCCACUGAAUCCACUCUCUCACUUUCCUCCGUCUGUUCAUCUGGAAUGAUGAUGGAGUCUUGAGCAAUUUGGCCUUUCAGGUAUUUCUUGCACCUUUCUGAAGGAAGGGGGGCUCCAGAACUGUCAUCAGCCUCUGCCUCACUGAGGGCCACAACAGUGAUAGCACGCAGUCCCACUGGCAUAUCAGCUUGAUGCAGUGCGCAACAUCAACCCUGGUAAAACGGGGGGAGUUUGGCAGACUGGGUUCCAACAAGGACAUGAAAGC
This is a long non-coding RNA of Oreochromis niloticus (Nile tilapia), 705 nucleotides long. RefSeq lists it as uncharacterized. The transcript has 3 exons. The record is from RefSeq and is a predicted model, not a curated record. Lineage: Eukaryota; Metazoa; Chordata; Actinopteri; Cichliformes; Cichlidae.